CCCCUCCCUCGCCCCAGCUGGGGUCCCAGACGGCCUUUCUUUUCGGGGGGGGGUUGGGUUGGGAGAGAGGCCUCUUGUUCAUUGUGGGUGCCGUUCCUCUCUCGACCUGUAGGGGGCGAUGAAGGGGAAGGGGAGCGGAGGAGGACUACCCCCUGCCCGGGAGUGCUGAGUCGGAAGCAGCCCCCGCGGAGGAGCCCCGGGGGUGAGGCGGCCGACCACGCGCCUCCCUCCCCCAUUUGCGGCCCUCCCAGCCCCACCAGGAGGCAGGAAGGUUCCUCUACUGCCCGACCCUCAUCGUGGUCGCCGCCGUGGUCGUCGAGCCCAGUGGGGGGCGAUGAAGGGGAAGGGGAGCGGAGGAAGACUCCCCCCUCCUUGAGAGUCCUCAGGCGGAAGCAGGCCCCGCGGAGGAGCCCCGGGGUGAGUCGGCCAGCACGUGCCUCCCUCCCUCCAUUGCCGGCCCUCCCCACCCCACCACGGGGCAGGAGGGUUCCUCUGCUGCCCGAUCUGGUCGUGGUCGCCGUCGUGGUCGUCGAGGCCAGUGGCAGGAAGCCUGCGUCUGCCCGUCCGGCCGUCCGGCCGUCUGGCCGUUCGUCCUCCCUCGCUGCCCUGUCCCACCAUCUGAGUCCCGGCUACCGCCCUGACCUCGCAAAAGGUAACGUCUGUUUGAGAUUGACCUUGACCAUUCUCCCCAUGCCUGACAACAGAGAGAGCUUCCUCCUCCUCGUCCUUCUUCUUCCAGAGACUGACAUUGACCAUGACCUUGAUGAUUAUCUGCAGCCCUGAACUCCCAAGAGCUGUCUCUAGGGGGUCUGAUCUCAGAGACUGAUCUUGCUUAUUCUCCCCGGGACUGAGUUCCCAAAAGGAGUCUCCUGUCACACAGUCCACUGGCCUCAGUCCUCUGUUAUCUUGAUGUGUGCAUCCAGACACUAUCCAAGUCUGAGGCACUCCAGCCCCACCUUUUCCCAGACUCUCUCCUUAAGGAAGCCCCAUUUGAUCUGCAACUUGUGAGUAUCUAUCUUUCUUUGCCUCCUCUUUGCUAGACCAGUAUCUCAAAGGCUUUUCCGCCCAGACUGACCUUGAACACACUUCACAGGCCCAAGCUCCUUUAGAGGCAGUUCUUCUAAGAGACUGACUUUAUCCUUAACC
RNAcentral lists this long non-coding RNA (1146 nucleotides) under Phascolarctos cinereus (koala). Its description in RNAcentral is "lncRNA (ENSPCIG00000035979.1)". Lineage: Eukaryota; Metazoa; Chordata; Mammalia; Diprotodontia; Phascolarctidae. The record is from RNAcentral.